RNAcentral lists this ribosomal RNA (676 nucleotides) under Cryptosporidium felis. RNAcentral's name for it is "partial small subunit ribosomal RNA". It matches the Rfam family "Eukaryotic small subunit ribosomal RNA", at positions 141 to 835 of the family's 1831-position model. The record is from RNAcentral. Lineage: Eukaryota; Apicomplexa; Conoidasida; Eucoccidiorida; Cryptosporidiidae.
GGAUAACCGUGGUAAUUCUAGAGCUAAUACAUGCGGAAAGACCCUACUUUAUGGAAAGGUCGUAUUUAUUAGAUAAAGAACCAAUAUUUUUUUUUGGUGACUCAUAAUAACUUUACGGAUCACAAUAAUUAAUUUUGUGACAUAUCAUUCAAGUUUCUGACCUAUCAGCUUUAGACGGUAGGGGAUUGGCCUACCGUGGCUAUGACGGGUAACGGGGAAUUAGGGUUCGAUUCCGGAGAGGGAGCCUGAGAAACGGCUACCACAUCUAAGGAAGGCAGCAGGCGCGCAAAUUACCCAAUCCUAAUACAGGGAGGUAGUGACAAGAAAUAACAAUACAGGACUUUACGGUUUUGUAAUUGGAAUGAGUUAAGUAUAAACCCCUUUACAAGUAUCAAUUGGAGGGCAAGUCUGGUGCCAGCAGCCGCGGUAAUUCCAGCUCCAAUAGCGUAUAUUAAAGUUGUUGCAGUUAAAAAGCUCGUAGUUGGAUUUCUGUUAAUACCUUAUAUAUAAUAUUUUUUUUUAAAUAUUAUUAUGUAAGAUUAACAUAAUUCAUAUUUUUUAAGACUGAAUUUUUAGUUUUGAUAAUAUGAAAUUUUACUUUGAGAAAAUUAGAGUGCUUAAAGCAGGCUUUUGCCUUGAAUACUCCAGCAUGGAAUAAUAAUAAAAGAUUUUUAUC